This 531-nucleotide unclassified non-coding RNA is filed under the name Hevea brasiliensis (rubber tree). The record is from RNAcentral. Lineage: Eukaryota; Viridiplantae; Streptophyta; Magnoliopsida; Malpighiales; Euphorbiaceae.
AGAUAAAAGGUUAAACUUGUCAGAAAGAAAAAUCAACAAGAUCCUCAUACAGAUGUGCCAUAAUCAAACUGUCAAUGAAAACUCAACAAAGCAAAGAAAGUUAGUUCCACAAGAUCCUUAAGAUAGUUGUAACAUUAAAUCCAUCAGUGCUUUCUUUCCUGACAGCUAAAUUUUGUCGACGUUCGAGUCGUGAAGAGAGUUUAUUCAACUUCUUGUAGGUAAUCGUCGAUUUCAGCUGGUGUGAGAACUCUGAAUACUUUGUCAUUGCCAAUGAUGCCGAUCUCGAUGUUUUUUCCGGAGAUCUGCCCCUCAAAUCCCUCCUUCAGGGUCAGUAUAGCAGUGUGUACAGCGUCAUCAAGUUCCAAUUCCUCCGUGUACCUCUUCUCUAGAAAUGUCUUUGCAUUGGACACAUUCUUCCCCAUAGCAGAGGCCUUCCAAGAGAAGUAAGAACCUGAUGGAUCCACCUGAUACAGUUGAGGACCCUUGUCAUCAUACCCCGCAACCAAGAGUGAAACACCGAAUGGCCUUACA